RNAcentral lists this long non-coding RNA (1183 nucleotides) under Heterocephalus glaber (naked mole-rat). Its description in RNAcentral is "lncRNA (ENSHGLG00100040921.1)". Lineage: Eukaryota; Metazoa; Chordata; Mammalia; Rodentia; Bathyergidae. The record is from RNAcentral.
CCCCCAGGGCUCCAGGUAAGAAUGCUCAGUCAGGAAUGAAGGCAGAAAUAAGCUACUAAAAACUGUAGGAGGUUAAUAUUAACUUCCUUUUCCUUCAUGAAGAAACCCUGUUGUCUGGGAUUAACUGGUGAAACCAGCCGGGCGAGAUGGUUCAUGCCUGGAGUCUCUAGCUACUCGGGAGGCUGAGGCAGGAGGAUCGCCGUGAGUGUGAGGCCAGCCUGCCUACACAGUGAGUUCAAGUCCCACAUGGGGGCGCGCACCUGUGAUCCUAAGGACUUGGGAGGCUGAGGCUGGAGGAUCGGCCAGGAGUUCAAGGUCAGCCUGAAAGAUAUAAGGAGACCCUGUCUCAAAAAAAAAAAUUUUUUGGGGGGCUGGCAAACACAAGGCCCUGAGUUUGAUUCCUGGUUCCAAAAAGAAUGUUUUUAAAUUUUUUUGAGUCCAUGUUUGCAGUACAUGAUCACAUUCCUCAUAGCGAGUUGGUACAUAGACAGGAACAGCUUCAUUCUUUUUAUGUCCCCUCCCUGUCCCAUCUCUGGUCCCCUUCCCAUUUGCAAAAAAAUCUACAGGGCCCAGGAUUUAGCUCAGUGGUUCUGCUGCCUGCCUCAAAAGCGGAAAGUCCCGAGUUGAUCCCCUGGUACCAAAAAGAAAAAAAAAAUCUACCUCUUGUAUUUCCUAUUAAACUCAGGACCUUGCACUCUGCGAGGCAGGCACAGAGCCACUGAGCUAAAUCCCCAGCCCUUCCUAUCUUUUACUUUGGUCUUUAAUUUAUUUAUACUUGGGUUUCUCACAGAAGAGAAACCGAGGAGACAAGCUGCGCUGCGUGUCCGAUUUGGUUCACUGACUGUCCUUUGUCUUCAUUUCCACGGGGCCUCGGGUGACAAGCAGGGCCCUGGGUCUCAGCGAGGGAAAGGGGAGUAGCAGAGCCCACAGCGCAGAUCCAGGCUCCCCUUUGUGGGACCUGUGUCCCCAUCUGGUGGAUCUGGUGGGAAAGUGACUGUGUCAGGGGAGGAAACCGGGCUGGCCGAAGGCUUGACGCUGUCUCCUUGGCAGCCGGAUAUAAACUCAACCAGGUCCUUUGUGGUGCUGGGGAUUGGACCCAGGCCCUCCAUCCCCCAUAACCCACACCCUGCCCACAAAUACUGUCAUCUGCACAUGGGCAGUAACCUCCUGCACCCUCCCAGGC